AUGGGGGGCCGCAGGCAGAGGUUUUUGUAUGAGCCUCUGUCACAGUGUGGUGUGUUCGGCGGAGGGACCCAGCUGACCAUCAUGAGUCAGCCCAAGGCCACUCCCGCUGUCACUCUCUUCGCACCCUCCUCUGAGGAGCUCAAAGACAACAAGGCCACACUGGUGUGUCUGAUGAGUGACUUCUACCCACCCACCGUCUCCGUGGCCUGGCAGGCAGAUGGCAGUCCUGUCACGCAGGGCGUGGAGACCACCAAGCCCUCAAAACAAAGCAACGGCAAGUACGCGGCCAGCAGCUACCUGAGCCUGACAGGUGACCAGUGGAGAAGUCACAAAAGGUACAGCUGCCUGGUCACCCACGAUGGCAAGACCGAGGAGAAGACAGUGGCCCCCGCAGAAUGUGUUUAGGGCCCUGGCCCCCUCCCCCCAGCCCUGGGGGCCUGGAGCUGCAGGAUCCCAGGGGACGGGUCUCCUUUCCCACCUAGGUCAUCCUGGCACUUCCCCCGCACCCUGUAAACUCUCAAUAAAUACCCUC
This is a non-coding RNA of Nycticebus coucang (slow loris), 532 nucleotides long. NCBI's taxonomy places the organism in Eukaryota, Metazoa, Chordata, Mammalia, Primates, Lorisidae. The record is from the annotation of a RefSeq genome assembly.